RNA transcript from Gadus morhua (Atlantic cod), 2186 nucleotides. It is a transcript of the gene named presenilin associated, rhomboid-like a, with no coding region annotated. NCBI's taxonomy places the organism in Eukaryota, Metazoa, Chordata, Actinopteri, Gadiformes, Gadidae. The transcript has 10 exons. The record is from RefSeq and is a predicted model, not a curated record.
GGGAAGGGCUUCCGACUGACUGCAGGGGUCAUUGUAAACAUGGCGUGGCGAGGAUGUGUUAUGCAUUUGACCAAAACGGGGUUUAUCAGAUGUACGAAGGCAUCCCCUAGAGAUAGCAGACUCAACCCACAUAACCAGCAAAGAUCUGCAUUCCGUCGGGAAGCCAAAAGAACAGAUACAAACAAAGGGAAUGUUUCCCAAGAGACAGAGCUUGCCGCCUCCAAAGCAGGAGAGCCAGUCAAUGUUAAAUCUCCUCCUCCACCACCUCCAGCACAUUCUCCUAGGGCCCGACCAACGCUUUUUAAACCGUUUGUUUUCACAAUAGGGUUUACAGGCUGUUCCUUCGGUGUGGCGGCCAUAUUGCAGUACGAGUCCCUGAAGUCGAGAUUCGACACAGUCAGGGAAGAGGCAAAACCAAAUAAAGAAUUGAAGGGUUCUGAGGACAUGACCUACUGGCACAACUGGUGGGAUCAGCUGAACGGUGUCCAGAAGCAGCUGAUCCUUCUGCUGUCUUCAGCAGACGACUUGUGGAGCAGCUUUUCCGAGGGACAGAGGACCACUGCUGGUAUUAUAGCGGUCAAUGCCCUCGUGCUGUGCUGCUGGAGAAUCCCAUCUUUGCAAAGAACCAUGAUCAAAUACUUCACAGCCAACCCAGCCGCCAAGACGCGGUGCCUUCCCAUGGUUCUCUCCUCCUUCAGCCACUACUCCGUCUUCCACAUGGUGGCCAACAUGUACGUGCUGUGGACCUUCUCCACCAGCAUCGUCUCCCUCCUGGGCAGGGAGCAGUUCAUCGCCGUCUACCUCUCCGCUGGUGCGAUCUCCAACAUGGUUAGCUACUGCUGUAAGACAGCCACUGGUCGGCUGUAUCCCUCAUUAGGAGCGUCCGGUGCGGUGAUGACCGUGCUGGCAGCGGUGUGCGCCAAGGUGCCAGAGGCCAAACUCGGCAUAAUUCUCCUUCCCAUGGUCACGUUUACAGCAGGGAAUGUAAGGCCUUGAAAGCCCUCAUCGCCAUAGACACAGCGGGACUGGUUAUGGGCUGGCGGUAUUUGGAUCAUGCAGCUCACCUGGGAGGGGCUCUUUUUGGAGUAUGGUACGUAGCAUACGGUCACAAAGUGAUCUGGAGGAACAGGGAGCCGUUUGUGAAGCUUUGGCAUAGCAUCCGUUCCCCUGGUAACGGUGGGAGGCGGCCAGGCAGCGGACCAGGGUCUCUGUGAGGCCCCCACACAGCCAUGCACCCUCGGGUGGGGUCACCCCACCCACACGUUCCCUAACGUCUGAGACGGCCAGUGAACUGAACAUGUUGUGUUUACACAGCUGUAUUGGUUUCAUGACUGAGGUUGUUGCACUGGUAACAGGAGAGAUCAAGAGGCUGAUGGGAGGGAUGGGAUAACUGGUGUUGGUCAACAAGGUUUGAUUGCUGUUAUUGAUGCAGAAUAAGACCAGGGACCAGCUCCAAGAAGGAGGUUAUGGACACUUAAAUCUGAACUCUGGGAUUCAGUCUGAAAAAUGUUUGUGUUCAUUGCAGGCUUUUAAAACCAUCAUCAAUCCCACUGUGGAAAACCAUGAAAGAGGUUGUUAUGGAAGGACAUGAGGAUUAUGAUGAUUGGCUACUAUAGCCUACAAAUGUUUUGCGGGAGUUUUACAAUACAAACCAAUUGGAAGCUGAUUAAAUAAUAAAAUUAGGAGAACUGGAUGCACUACUGGCUAGAUGUUUUCUUGCUGUAUACUAUUUAACAAGUUCAUGUCAAAUUAGCAUUGAAAGGGUACUUAUCUCAUUUUAUUUGUGUGCUAUCAUAACAGAAUAAUGAGUGGUUGCAUUUUCUGUGACAUUUGUAACACUAAAUGUAUAUGUCUUUAACAAAGUUUAGAACAAUGGGAUUAUCCACAAUGGGUGUAAUUUAGAGUGACUGCUGCAGAAACAGGGAACACUCAAGUGUUGUUACUGCUUAUGUUGUCAAAUCGGUUGACAACUGAACAAUUCUGGCUUUUAAUUAAUUCUGAAACAAACAAAAUCCCUUCCUCCCCACAUCUUGGUUUGCAUUUCACCAUAACAUUGACAAUAAAGUCUGGAAUAGUUUCAGACUGACUUUUUAUCCUGUCCCUAGGCAAACAAUCCUCUCAAUCUUGAUCUGAGAGUUAGUUAUCAGUAUUAGUAUCAUUCAAUAAAAGUGUUACUUCCACAUGAA